CCUACGGGAGGCAGCAGUGGGGAAUAUUGCACAAUGGGGGAAACCCUGAUGCAGCGACGCCGCGUGAGCGAUGAAGUACUUCGGUAUGUAAAGCUCUAUCAGCAGGGAAGAAAAUGACGGUACCUGACUAAGAAGCCCCGGCCAACUACGGUCCAGCAGCCGCGGUAAUACGUAGGGGGCGAGCGUUAUCCGGAUUUACUGGGUGUAAAGGGAGCGUAGGCGGUCCUGCAAGCCAGAUGUGAAAGCCCGGGGCUCAACCCCGGGACUGCGUUUGGAACUGUAAGGCUAGAGUGUCGGAGGGGCAGGCGGAAUUCCUGGUGUAGCGGUGGAAUGCGUAGAUAUUAGGAGGAACACCAGUGGCGAAGGCGGGCUGCUGGGCAUUAACUGACGCUGAGGCGCGAAAGCGUGGGGAGCGAACAGGAUUAGAUACCCUGGUAGUC
Molecule: ribosomal RNA, 440 nt
Filed under: uncultured bacterium
Lineage: Bacteria
Description: partial 16S ribosomal RNA
Rfam family: Bacterial small subunit ribosomal RNA
Source: RNAcentral